Molecule: ribosomal RNA, 468 nt
Filed under: uncultured bacterium
Lineage: Bacteria
Description: partial 16S ribosomal RNA
Rfam family: Bacterial small subunit ribosomal RNA
Source: RNAcentral
GACGAACGCUGGCGGCGUGCUUAACACAUGCAAGUCGAACGGAAAGGCCCUGCUUUUGUGGGGUGCUCGAGUGGCGAACGGGUGAGUAACACGUGAGUAACCUGCCCUUGACUUUGGGAUAACUUCAGGAAACUGGGGCUAAUCCCGGAUAGGAGCUCCUGCUGCAUGGUGGGGGGUGGAAAGUUUCGGCUGUUGGGGAUGGACGCGCGGCUUAUCAGCUUGUUGGUGGGGUAGUGGCUGACCAAGGCUUUGACGGAUAGCCGGCCUGAGAGGGUGACCGGCCACCUUGGGCCUGCGGUACGGCCCAGACUCCUACGGUAGGCAGUAGUCGGGAGUCUGGCACAACCGGCGCAAGCCUGUUGCAACAACGCCGCGUUCGUGAUGACGGCCUUCUGGUUGUAAACCGCUUUCGCCUGUGACGACGCGUUAGUGACGGUAAUGGGUAAAUAAGCACCGGCUAACUACGUG